RNAcentral lists this ribosomal RNA (1417 nucleotides) under Staphylococcus aureus. RNAcentral's name for it is "partial 23S ribosomal RNA". It matches the Rfam family "Bacterial large subunit ribosomal RNA", at positions 1508 to 2925 of the family's 2925-position model. The record is from RNAcentral. Lineage: Bacteria; Bacillati; Bacillota; Bacilli; Caryophanales; Staphylococcaceae.
ACGUCUAAGCAGUAAGGCUGAGUAUUAGGCAAAUCCGGUACUCAUUAAGGCUGAGCUGUGAUGGGGAGAAGACAUUGUGUCUUCGAGUCGUUGAUUUCACACUGCCGAGAAAAGCCUCUAGAUAGAAAAUAGGUGCCCGUACCGCAAACCGACACAGGUAGUCAAGAUGAGAAUUCUAAGGUGAGCGAGCGAACUCUCGUUAAGGAACUCGGCAAAAUGACCCCGUAACUUCGGGAGAAGGGGUGCUCUUUAGGGUUAACGCCCAGAAGAGCCGCAGUGAAUAGGCCCAAGCGACUGUUUAUCAAAAACACAGGUCUCUGCUAAACCGUAAGGUGAUGUAUAGGGGCUGACGCCUGCCCGGUGCUGGAAGGUUAAGAGGAGUGGUUAGCUUCUGCGAAGCUACGAAUCGAAGCCCCAGUAAACGGCGGCCGUAACUAUAACGGUCCUAAGGUAGCGAAAUUCCUUGUCGGGUAAGUUCCGACCCGCACGAAAGGCGUAACGAUUUGGGCACUGUCUCAACGAGAGACUCGGUGAAAUCAUAGUACCUGUGAAGAUGCAGGUUACCCGCGACAGGACGGAAAGACCCCGUGGAGCUUUACUGUAGCCUGAUAUUGAAAUUCGGCACAGCUUGUACAGGAUAGGUAGGAGCCUUUGAAACGUGAGCGCUAGCUUACGUGGAGGCGCUGGUGGGAUACUACCCUAGCUGUGUUGGCUUUCUAACCCGCACCACUUAUCGUGGUGGGAGACAGUGUCAGGCGGGCAGUUUGACUGGGGCGGUCGCCUCCUAAAAGGUAACGGAGGCGCUCAAAGGUUCCCUCAGAAUGGUUGGAAAUCAUUCAUAGAGUGUAAAGGCAUAAGGGAGCUUGACUGCGAGACCUACAAGUCGAGCAGGGUCGAAAGACGGACUUAGUGAUCCGGUGGUUCCGCAUGGAAGGGCCAUCGCUCAACGGAUAAAAGCUACCCCGGGGAUAACAGGCUUAUCUCCCCCAAGAGUUCACAUCGACGGGGAGGUUUGGCACCUCGAUGUCGGCUCAUCGCAUCCUGGGGCUGUAGUCGGUCCCAAGGGUUGGGCUGUUCGCCCAUUAAAGCGGUACGCGAGCUGGGUUCAGAACGUCGUGAGACAGUUCGGUCCCUAUCCGUCGUGGGCGUAGGAAAUUUGAGAGGAGCUGUCCUUAGUACGAGAGGACCGGGAUGGACAUACCUCUGGUGUACCAGUUGUCGUGCCAACGGCAUAGCUGGGUAGCUAUGUGUGGACGGGAUAAGUGCUGAAAGCAUCUAAGCAUGAAGCCCCCCUCAAGAUGAGAUUUCCCAACUUCGGUUAUAAGAUCCCUCAAAGAUGAUGAGGUUAAUAGGUUCGAGGUGGAAGCAUGGUGACAUGUGGAGCUGACGAAUACUAAUCGAUCGAAGACUUAAUCAA